This 62-nucleotide transfer RNA is filed under the name Neoteredo reynei. RNAcentral describes it as "tRNA-Cys". Lineage: Eukaryota; Metazoa; Mollusca; Bivalvia; Myida; Teredinidae. The record is from RNAcentral.
UCUCUAGUAGUUUAAUAAGAACGUUGGAUUGCAGGUCCUGAGGUGAGUUGUUUCUUAGAGAU